RNAcentral lists this ribosomal RNA (377 nucleotides) under Odorrana graminea (large odorous frog). RNAcentral's name for it is "partial 12S ribosomal RNA". It matches the Rfam family "Bacterial small subunit ribosomal RNA", at positions 875 to 1400 of the family's 1533-position model. Lineage: Eukaryota; Metazoa; Chordata; Amphibia; Anura; Ranidae. The record is from RNAcentral.
AACUUACAUCUACAAACGCCGGGGAAUUACGAGCUACGCUUAAAACCCAAAGGAUUUGACGGUGUCCCACCCCCCUAGAGGAGCCUGUUCUAUAAUCGAUAAUACCCGCUAUACCCAACCACCUCUCGCUAUUCAGUCUGUAUACCUCCGUCGAAAGCUUACCAUGUGAACGCCUACAGUAAGUACAAUGGCUACCAACGUCAACACGUCAGGUCAAGGUGCAGCUUAAGUGGUGGAAAGUAAUUGGCUACAAUUUCUAACCUAGAACAAACGGAAGACUAUGUGAAACCAUAGUUCUGAAGGCGGAUUUAGUAGUAAAAAGAAAAUAGAGCGUUCUUUUUAACCCGGCUCUGGGACGCGUACACACCGCCCGUCAC